GAGGAGGAAUUAGUUAAGAAUAACAUAACCUUGUCAAGGUUAAAUCAUUGGUUAAACUCCAAUACUCCUCU
RNAcentral lists this transfer RNA (71 nucleotides) under Fejervarya cancrivora (crab-eating frog). Its description in RNAcentral is "tRNA-Asp". It matches the Rfam family "tRNA". Rfam says of the family: Transfer RNA (tRNA) molecules are approximately 80 nucleotides in length. The record is from RNAcentral. Lineage: Eukaryota; Metazoa; Chordata; Amphibia; Anura; Dicroglossidae.